CGGGUGAGUAACGCGUGAGGAACCUGCCUCAAAGAGGGGGACAACAGUUGGAAACGACUGCUAAUACCGCAUAAGCCCACGGCUCGGCAUCGAGCAGAGGGAAAAGGAGCAAUCCGCUUUGAGACGGCCUCGCGUCCGAUUAGCUAGUUGGUGAGGUAACGGCCCACCAAGGCGACGAUCGGUAGCCGGACUGAGAGGUUGAACGGCCACAUUGGGACUGAGACACGGCCCAG
RNAcentral lists this ribosomal RNA (233 nucleotides) under uncultured bacterium. RNAcentral describes it as "partial 16S ribosomal RNA". It matches the Rfam family "Bacterial small subunit ribosomal RNA", at positions 103 to 334 of the family's 1533-position model. The record is from RNAcentral.